UUCAGCAGAGGCUUCAAUUCAUCCCCAAAACCCAGACCGACAGCUAGGCUUACACUAUUUUCUUGGCCUGGGGAGACGGCUUUUUUCCAGAGGACAAAGGCCGGCAGAGGAAGAAAGUUACCCAAUCCCCGUCGUCCAAACCUCUCACUCUACCCAGCAGUUGGAGAGGAAGAAAGUUAUCAGUGGAAUCCAAGCCCUCAUCGGCACCCAGAACUUGGAGAACGGCGAUCUCAUCACCGAUGCGGAGUGGUUCUACAUGAUGUCCCUCGCACGCUCUUUCUCCGUCAGCGAUGGAGUUCCAGGAAAGGCAUUUAUUGUGGGUUCUUUGUUUUGGUUGUUAGUCCUUCAGUUGUUUUCUUUAUCUUCUCGGAAUUGUGAGUGUUUUUUGAGUGACACGUGUUUUUGUUGAUGUAGAAGGCUAAUGGGUCGAAGUAGAGGCCACUGCCGAGAUCGUCGUCCACAUCGACAUCUUCCAACAACCCUGAGGAGCUAGAGAUUAAGAUUGCGGAGGUUUUGUAUGGGUUGAUGACUCAGUCGCAAGCUCUUUUGAAGAAAGAAAUUGCAUCGAACGAUACCAGAGAAGUAAACAACAGAUCCUGUGGCGAUACUAAACCCGUGUCUCAUCGCCAGUUUCCGGCUCUUUGUCGCCGGCGAUUUUUUCUUCGGUGCUGAAUUCCUCGUCGAAAGCUCCUUUUUUUGCUAGUGUUCGAAGCAGCCCGUCAUCGGCUUCUACUAAAACUGAGAUGGAUCAUACGAUGAAGGCGAAGGUUUCUUCUUCCCCAAAUUUCAAGAAAAUACCAGUUCAAAAUGAUGGUGGCUCUUUGUUAUAUGGUUUGAGCAGUUCAAUCAAUUCACAAUCAGAUCCAACAUCGGAGCCGAUGAAGGUGGAAUCGGAAUUCAAGCCGCUAGAGACGAAGCAAGCGCCGGAAAGUGGAGAUUAGGGCGAAGGUGUGCGAAGAAGGAAGAAAAAAAAGCCCUACCCGUUCGAUUGUCUUUGUUCGAAGAAGGUGUGGCGUGCAAGAUGAAUGCAAAUUCUUCAACAUCUAACUCGACCGGUAUGUACUAUGAAUAUGGUGAAUGGAUUCCUGUAAUACAUUGUCGUUGUGGGUAUCAAAUGAAGUUGCGAACUUCCUGGACGAACGAAAAUCCUGGGAGAAGGUUUUGGCAAUGCCCAAUGGCUAGGUGUAGCUCAAUGGAAUGGUUCGACCCUCCCAUGUGUAAGAGAUCGAAGAAAAUAAUCCCAGGUUUGCUAAGGAAGAUAAAUAAACAUGAAGAACAGAUUCAAAAGUUGCAGCAGGAGAAGUUGAAAGCUAAAGAAAAAAGUAAAGUCCAGUUACUCCGUGAUGAGCCAAUGCCAAUACAGUGGAAGAUUCAUGUACUUAUAAUGUUUGUAGCUAUCGUUGUAAUCCUACUUAUUUGUAACACUGACAGUAGGUUAGUGGAUUUAAAGCAGUUAAUGUAGUAUGUUGGGCAUUUAAGAUUGAACCAAAUGUUUGCUUUGUUGGAAUUCAAGUUGUUUGUAUUA
Ipomoea nil (Japanese morning glory) is the source of this 1525-nucleotide long non-coding RNA. RefSeq lists it as uncharacterized. Lineage: Eukaryota; Viridiplantae; Streptophyta; Magnoliopsida; Solanales; Convolvulaceae. The record is from RefSeq and is a predicted model, not a curated record. The transcript is spliced from 2 exons.